Molecule: small nucleolar RNA, 138 nt
Filed under: Ornithorhynchus anatinus (platypus)
Lineage: Eukaryota; Metazoa; Chordata; Mammalia; Monotremata; Ornithorhynchidae
Source: RNAcentral
UCCCUCUCAGGGUCGCACUUGGAGAAUUUCCAGUCCUCUACCAGUCUCCACUACGGGAGGGAGAGUCAAGCAGAGGCCUGUCCAUUCCAUUCCUAGCUUGGCCAGUGGUUAGUGAGUGGAAAGCAAUCUGCUACAAGA